CUAUGUGCCACUGGAUUUAGGAGAAUGUUUCAUGUUCCUGUUCUCUUUUUUAUUUCUUUGUUGUUUUUUUUUGAAAUGAUACAUGUGUUGAUGAAGACUCUCUUUUAGGUAUAUUUUUGCAUCUAAUUUGUAUGAAUCUGAAUGCAUGAAUGAGAUAGAGUGGACAAUUUAUCAAGACUGGCAUGACUGGAUGAAUAACCAAUUUGGCCAAAGCCUUGAAUUGGAUGGAAUCAUUUAUCUUCGAGCCACUCCAGAGACAUGCUUACAUAGAAUGUAUUUACGGGGAAGAAAUGAAGAGCAAGGCAUUCCUCUUGAAUAUUUAGAGAAGCUUCAUUAUAAACAUGAAAGCUGGCUCCUGCAUAGGACA
Molecule: long non-coding RNA, 367 nt
Filed under: Pan troglodytes (chimpanzee)
Lineage: Eukaryota; Metazoa; Chordata; Mammalia; Primates; Hominidae
Description: long non-coding RNA NONPTRT013060
Source: RNAcentral